RNAcentral lists this ribosomal RNA (344 nucleotides) under uncultured Mycobacterium sp. RNAcentral's name for it is "bacterial SSU rRNA". It matches the Rfam family "Bacterial small subunit ribosomal RNA", at positions 8 to 354 of the family's 1533-position model. The record is from RNAcentral. Lineage: Bacteria; Bacillati; Actinomycetota; Actinomycetes; Mycobacteriales; Mycobacteriaceae.
AGAGUUUGAUCCUGGCUCAGGACGAACGCUGGCGGCGUGCUUAACACAUGCAAGUCGAACGGAAAGGUCUCUUCGGAGAUACUCGAGUGGCGAACGGGUGAGUAACACGUGGGUAAUCUGCCCUGCACUUCGGGAUAAGCCUGGGAAACUGGGUCUAAUACCGAAUAGGACCACUUGGCGCAUGCCUUGUGGUGGAAAGCUUUUGCGGUGUGGGAUGGGCCCGCGGCCUAUCAGCUUGUUGGUGGGGUGAUGGCCUACCAAGGCGACGACGGGUAGCCGGCCUGAGAGGGUGUCCGGCCACACUGGGACUGAGAUACGGCCCAGACUCCUACGGGAGGCAGCAA